This 1104-nucleotide ribosomal RNA is filed under the name Triticum aestivum (bread wheat). RNAcentral describes it as "partial small subunit ribosomal RNA". Lineage: Eukaryota; Viridiplantae; Streptophyta; Magnoliopsida; Poales; Poaceae. The record is from RNAcentral.
AUGACGAGGCGGUGCUCGCACUGCAGCAACAACGGCCACAACGCGCGGACCUGCCCCGCCCGCUCCGGCGGCGGCGGCGGCGGCGGCGGUGUGAGGCUCUUCGGCGUGCACCUCACGUCGCCGCCGGUGGCCGCGAUGAAGAAGAGCGCGAGCAUGAGCUGCAUCGCGUCGUCGCUCGGCGGCGGCGGGUCCGGGGGCUCGUCGCCGGCCGCGGGGCCGGGGGGCGGCGCCGCCAGGGGAGGGGGCGAGGGCGCGCCCGGGUACGUCUCCGACGACCCCAUGCACGCCUCCUGCUCGACCAAUGGCCGGGCCGAGCGCAAGAAAGGUACACCUUGGACUGAAGAAGAGCAUAGAUUGUUUCUACUGGGUCUGCAGAAGCUUGGCAAAGGAGACUGGCGUGGGAUAUCUCGUAGUUUUGUUGUCUCAAGGACCCCAACUCAGGUGGCCAGCCACGCCCAGAAGUAUUUCAUUAGACAGACAAACUUCUCAAGGCGGAAGAGGAGGUCAAGCUUGUUUGACAUGGUCCCAGAAAUGCCAAUGGAUGAGUCCCCUGAUGGCACGGAAGAGUUUAUGCUCUGUGGCACUCAAGAUGAAUCAACAAGUUCAAAUAAACUGUCACUGUUUCAUCUUGAGCGACAGAAGGAAGCAGAGUGUGAUAAAGAUCUGCCAACUUUGCAACUAAGGCAGCACGAGGAAUCUGAAUAUGCAGGGCCUUCACUAGAAGCACCAGACUUGGAGAUGAACAAUGGUGUAUCAUUCAAGACCACAUCUGUCUCGACAGUGCCGGCAUUCUACCCAGCAUUGCUCCCUGUUCCACUAACACUGUGGCCUGCAAAUGUUUCUAAUGUGGAAGCAUCAAACGCAACCCAUGAAGUCCUAAAGCCCACUCCUGUGAAUUUAAAGGAGGCAAUUAAGGCGGAUGAGGUUGUCAGUAUGUCCAAGCUCAGCAUUGGUGGGGGUAGCUCUGGCUCAAUGGAACCUUCUGCUCUUUCCCUUCAGCUUACCGGGCCGACAAAUACAAGGCAAUCAGCUUUUCAUGUGAGCCCACCAAUGACUAGAACUGACCUUAGUCAGGGAAACAACAGCCCAAUCCAUGCAGUUUGA